RNAcentral lists this ribosomal RNA (464 nucleotides) under Vreelandella stevensii. RNAcentral's name for it is "partial 16S ribosomal RNA". It matches the Rfam family "Bacterial small subunit ribosomal RNA", at positions 338 to 795 of the family's 1533-position model. Lineage: Bacteria; Pseudomonadati; Pseudomonadota; Gammaproteobacteria; Oceanospirillales; Halomonadaceae. The record is from RNAcentral.
CCUACGGGAGGCUGCAGUGGGGAAUAUUGGACAAUGGGGGCAACCCUGAUCCAGCCAUGCCGCGUGUGUGAAGAAGGCCCUCGGGUUGUAAAGCACUUUCAGUGAGGAAGAACGCCUGGUGGUUAAUACCCAUCAGGAAAGACAUCACUCACAGAAGAAGCACCGGCUAACUCCGUGCCAGCAGCCGCGGUAAUACGGAGGGUGCGAGCGUUAAUCGGAAUUACUGGGCGUAAAGCGCGCGUAGGUGGCUUGAUAAGCCGGUUGUGAAAGCCCCGGGCUCAACCUGGGAACGGCAUCCGGAACUGUCAAGCUAGAGUGCAGGAGAGGAAGGUAGAAUUCCCGGUGUAGCGGUGAAAUGCGUAGAGAUCGGGAGGAAUACCAGUGGCGAAGGCGGCCUUCUGGACUGACACUGACACUGAGGUGCGAAAGCGUGGGUAGCAAACAGGAUUAGAUACCCGGGUGUC